This 253-nucleotide ribosomal RNA is filed under the name uncultured bacterium. RNAcentral describes it as "partial 16S ribosomal RNA". It matches the Rfam family "Bacterial small subunit ribosomal RNA", at positions 524 to 776 of the family's 1533-position model. The record is from RNAcentral.
UACGUAGGUGACAAGCGUUGUCCGGAUUUACUGGGCGUAAAGAGCGCGCAGGCGGUCGAUCAAGUCGAGUGUGAAAGCCCCCGGCUCAACUGGGGAGGGUCAUUCGAUACUGAUCGACUCGAAGGCAGGAGAGGGUAGUGGAAUUCCCGGUGUAGUGGUGAAAUGCGUAGAUAUCGGGAGGAACACCAGUGGCGAAGGCGGAUCUCUGGGCCAUUACUGACGCUGAGACGCGAAAGCGUGGGGAGCGAACAGG